Molecule: ribosomal RNA, 127 nt
Filed under: Prolemur simus (greater bamboo lemur)
Lineage: Eukaryota; Metazoa; Chordata; Mammalia; Primates; Lemuridae
Source: RNAcentral
GUCUACGGCCAAACCACGCUGAACGCGCCCGAUCUCGUCUGAUCUCGGAAGCUAAGCAGGGUCGGGCCGGGUUAGCGCUUGGAUGGGAGAAGAAACAGCUAGUGCACAACAGAGCAGCGGCGCGACU